Molecule: ribosomal RNA, 643 nt
Filed under: uncultured bacterium
Lineage: Bacteria
Description: bacterial SSU rRNA
Rfam family: Bacterial small subunit ribosomal RNA (bases 1-557)
Source: RNAcentral
CCUACGGGAGGCAGCAGUGGGGAAUAUUGCGCAAUGGGGGAAACCCUGACGCAGCAACGCCGCGUGAGUGAGGAAGGACUUCGGUCUGUAAAGCUCUGUUAAUGAGGAAAAAUGGUAGUUGGUCUAAUAGGCCGAUUAUUUGAUGGUACUCAUAGAGGAAGCACCGGCUAACUUCGUGCCAGCAGCCGCGGUAAUACGAAGGGUGCAAGCGUUGUUCGGAUUUAUUGGGCGUAAAGCGCGCGUAGGCGGACCCGCAAGUCAGAUGUGAAAUCUCGAGGCUCAACCUCGAAACUGCGUCUGAAACUACGGGUCUAGAAUCUCGGAGGGGGAAGGGGAAUUUCGCAUGUAGGGGUAAAACUCCGUAGAUAUGCGAAGGAACACCAGAGGCGAAGGCGCCUUCCUGGACGAGUAUUGACGCUGAGGCGCGAAAGCGUGGGGAUCAAACGAGGUAUUAGACUACCCGUGGUAGUCCACGCUAGUAAACGAUAGAACACUAGGUAUUGGAGGUAUUUCGACCCCUUNUAGUGUCGUACGCUACGACGUUAGUUAGUUCCGUCCGUGGUAGGUACGGUCGCGAGACGUAAACUACGAAUAGAAGUUAGACGGCGUGAGACGUGCCGACGGACGACGACGAGGGAGGAGG